This is a long non-coding RNA of Harpia harpyja (harpy eagle), 1069 nucleotides long. RefSeq lists it as uncharacterized. The transcript has 3 exons. The record is from RefSeq and is a predicted model, not a curated record. Lineage: Eukaryota; Metazoa; Chordata; Aves; Accipitriformes; Accipitridae.
AUUCUCUUCAAGGCACACUUCUUCACAGAAUCAUGGGAUCAUGUAGAUUGGAGGGGACUUGCGAAGUCAUCAUCUCUAACCCCUGCUCAAACUAAUGAACAAGACCAGACUUCUGCAAACUCUCUGAGGACCACCAGAACUGGUGCAAGGGAAGGCUGGAAGCUGCAGCCAGGAGUGAAAGAUGGCUGAGAAACAAGAUCUCAUCCUAAUGGUAGUGUUCCAGGCACUACACUUCAAGAACAAUAUGAGUCAGCUGGAGAGUGUCCAGAGAAGAACCAGCAGGAAUGAUGAGAGGGUUGAAACCAUGACCUGCAAUGGAAAAAUGGAACAAACUGGAACUUCUUACCCUAAACAACAGAAAUCUGAGAAGAGAUAUCAUAAUAGACAUGAAAGAAAUGAACGGCCAUUGAAAAGAAGAAAUAAUUUAUUUUCUAUAGGACAAAAAGCAAUGGGCUUUAAUUACAGUAAAGAGGAUUCAGUUUACGUAUCGGAAACUAUAGGAAUAGAUAAUGAAUAGGAAUAGAUUGCUGUGCAGGAUGGUAUAUGGAGACUUUAAGGUUAGAGAAAUGUCAGUCAGGAAUAUUUUAGGCAUAACUGAUCCUAUAUAAGGCCAAUGAGGUCAGUGACCUCUUGAGUUUGCUUCUAUACAGGCAUGGUCCAGGUGCAGGGCAGACAAGAAGGAAGCACAGAAUUAACAGGGAUUAGUAGACAUACAGUAGUCAACAGAUUACAUAGCAGCAGAAUCAGGGGAAAGUCUCAUUGGCCUGUUUCCUUUACCUUUAGUGCCAUGGUAAGAUUUGAGCUCAAGGUAGCUACAUAUUUCUGCUAAUCCUUGAGAAACUAAAAGUUAUUGUUUCUGUAGUGAGUAUGUUGGCUUAUUGCUGGGAAGUGGUUUAUAAAGUUGGCUGGUAGAAAAAAAUUGACUGCGAAAACUGUGGAGCCUUCAGAUCCUUUCUGCGUACUAUGCCCUAUACUUGGCUGUUUGCUGUGACUCUCACGGAUGAAAACAGCGUUGUAAAACAAUGAUAGGAAUAGCCUUCUUAUUUUUUUAGUUCAGCCUCAAACUGAA